Long non-coding RNA from Acanthopagrus latus (yellowfin seabream), 412 nucleotides. RefSeq lists it as uncharacterized. The transcript has 2 exons. NCBI's taxonomy places the organism in Eukaryota, Metazoa, Chordata, Actinopteri, Spariformes, Sparidae. The record is from RefSeq and is a predicted model, not a curated record.
UACUUUUAGGCGUCCUGUAUAAUGAUUACUUGGUUAUUGAAUUAGCUAAAAUCGGGAUAACAAAGUAGCCUAAAUAUUUGAAAUAGUUAACCAGAUCUAAUGGAUAAAUGUUGUUCUUGUUGCCAUGGAGAGUUUAUCAGCCCGUUGUUUGUACGAGAUAGGGAGAAGGGGCACCGUCGGAUUCUUUCCACUCCUCGCUGUAGCUGUGGCGGCCAGGCGGGGAGGUAAACAUCCUGGUUCUAUGGCCGUAUUUGGAUGUUAACCCUGCCGGCACAUGUGAACUUGAGAGCGCCUGUAAAAGGAGACACACAUGACAUCUGCCACCCGGCAGGAUCGCUCAUUCAACAUCCCCGGAGAGAAACGUGCCAGACAAAUAUAGCACCUGCACUAUGAAAUAAAUAAUAUAAUUGAG